CUUCAUUGCACAAACCGUCGAGGACGCCAUUAUUUCCCUCCUGAACAAACUGCGGAACCAUGUUGGUCAAGACCAGGCUUGGUGAUGUCCAAAAAUUUGUUAGAGUAACAGAGCUGGAUCUGAAAGGGUUUUUGAUUGCAGCAUUUGAAAAGUUUGGUGUGCCAGCUGUGACAGAAGGUGUGAAGGUUGUUGACAGUUCCGGGACUGAGUUGGAUGAGGACGUAUUUGAA
Long non-coding RNA from Melanotaenia boesemani (Boeseman's rainbowfish), 230 nucleotides. RefSeq lists it as uncharacterized. The record is from RefSeq and is a predicted model, not a curated record. The transcript has 3 exons. NCBI's taxonomy places the organism in Eukaryota, Metazoa, Chordata, Actinopteri, Atheriniformes, Melanotaeniidae.